This 88-nucleotide transfer RNA is filed under the name Paludisphaera borealis. RNAcentral describes it as "tRNA-Ser". It matches the Rfam family "tRNA". From Rfam's summary of the family: Transfer RNA (tRNA) molecules are approximately 80 nucleotides in length. Lineage: Bacteria; Pseudomonadati; Planctomycetota; Planctomycetia; Isosphaerales; Isosphaeraceae. The record is from RNAcentral.
GGAAGGCAGCCGGAUACGGUUCGCCGGGCCUCUUUGCUAAAGAGUGCGCCUCGCCUGGGGUGUGAGGGUUCGAAUCCCUCGCCUUCCG